This 301-nucleotide ribosomal RNA is filed under the name uncultured bacterium. Its description in RNAcentral is "partial 16S ribosomal RNA". It matches the Rfam family "Bacterial small subunit ribosomal RNA", at positions 509 to 808 of the family's 1533-position model. The record is from RNAcentral.
CAGUAGCCGCGGGAAUACGUAGGUCCCGAGCGUUGUCCGGAUUUAUUGGGCGUAAAGCGAGCGCAGGCGGUUAGAUAAGUCUGAAGUUAAAGGCUGUGGCUUAACCAUAGUACGCUUUGGAAACUGUUUAACUUGAGUGCAAGAGGGGAGAGUGGAAUUCCAUGUGUAGCGGUGAAAUGCGUAGAUAUAUGGAGGAACACCGGUGGCGAAAGCGGCUCUCUGGCUUGUAACUGACGCUGAGGCUCGAAAGCGUGGGGCGCAAACAGGAUUAGAGACCCGCGUAGUCCCUGUCUCUUAUACA